This 490-nucleotide long non-coding RNA is filed under the name Ananas comosus (pineapple). Its description in RNAcentral is "long non-coding RNA (ACOM_LNC031043)". The record is from RNAcentral. Lineage: Eukaryota; Viridiplantae; Streptophyta; Magnoliopsida; Poales; Bromeliaceae.
AAAUAAAUAAAUAGGAACGUAUAUUUUACACUACCGACCGUCUCGAGCGCAACUGACAAAAAGAUUUGAUGGUUGGUAUCCGAGAUCCAAGAUUAAAUUCUAGUUGAUUCAUAUUUCCAACUAAAUUUAUUUUUAAAUAAAAUAAACGAAGCGGGCAGCAUGCUGCCUUUCUCUAAAAAAAAACGUACAUUUUACACUUAUUUGAUUCAAAAGUUUAUAAAACCGUUUGGAUAUUUUAGUAUUUGAAAAAACAAUGGUCUAAAUCUCUUAAUUAGGCUGUAUUUGGUUUGAGAACUAAAUUUUGAAAAAUAAUUUUUUUUGUUCUUGACAAUAAGAAAUAUUCCGAUAUAAGUUAUAACAAGUUAUAAAUUGCAUUUAAAUAUUAUUUAUUUAUUUAUAGAGAAUAUUUUUGAUAGUGUUUUAAUGUUUAUAUUGAAAAUAGGUGUUUAUGUUUAUGUUGGAAGGCGAACGGAUUGUUCCUGAAACAAUC